Dermochelys coriacea (leatherback sea turtle) is the source of this 684-nucleotide long non-coding RNA. RefSeq lists it as uncharacterized. The transcript is spliced from 2 exons. The record is from RefSeq and is a predicted model, not a curated record. Lineage: Eukaryota; Metazoa; Chordata; Testudines; Dermochelyidae.
GGCAUGGCCAGGAAGCCAGGCCAGGAAGAGGAGACUGUAGUUCCUGAGGCUACAAGAGGGGCUACAGACUGACAACAGAGACAGGGUGAUGGUGCGCAGACCAUGGAUAGGGGCUUUCGCCUAGAGCUAAUCCCCAGAAUGACUUGGAGGAGGCACCACCCUGGUGGCUGGUGUCCUACAGUAAGAAAGGAUUUCCUGUCCCUAAAGGGAAUACUUGUCCUCAACUAUCAUUGUUUUAUUAGUAAAUACACAGCAUAGUGAUCAGGGCAACUCGCAUUCAGCAAAAUCAAAUAGCAGCAUGAAAGGUGGUGAGCACCAGCAAGAGGAAGACUGCACAAAUGAAAAUGGGAACAAAUCCAAAGAUUUUAAAAGGAACCAAGGAGCACUAAGUAAAAGUUGAAAAGGAAGCCAGAGCUAGUGUUUCAGUGCAGAGGGCUGUCUAGUGCUGCCUGUGACGGGCCUGGCUCUACAAGGGAUGAGGUGAAGGCAGAUUAAGCAGAGUCCAUCUCUGUCACAACACGCAAGCAUUUCUGUACAGUCCCAGCCAGCUUUCCACCCAUGGGAGGGGCAACAAUAUUUAUGGGCCUUGGGUUUUUUGUUGGUUGCAAAGUUGUUUGGCCACAAGAUACAGUUUGGUAGGAAGCUUUGAAAUAAAGAUGGAAGGAGUUAAUCUCUAAAAUUAAA